This 73-nucleotide transfer RNA is filed under the name Camelus bactrianus (Bactrian camel). It matches the Rfam family "tRNA". Rfam says of the family: Transfer RNA (tRNA) molecules are approximately 80 nucleotides in length. Their secondary structure includes four short double-helical elements and three loops (D, anti-codon, and T loops). The record is from Rfam by way of RNAcentral. Lineage: Eukaryota; Metazoa; Chordata; Mammalia; Artiodactyla; Camelidae. RNAcentral also lists the same sequence under 2 other names.
GAGGGCGUAGCUCAAUUGGUAGAGCGUGUGCUUAGCAUGCACCAGGUCCUAGGUUCAAUCCCCAGUACUUCCA